This 421-nucleotide ribosomal RNA is filed under the name uncultured bacterium. Its description in RNAcentral is "bacterial SSU rRNA". It matches the Rfam family "Bacterial small subunit ribosomal RNA", at positions 356 to 773 of the family's 1533-position model. The record is from RNAcentral.
AAGGAAUAUUGGACAAUGGUCGGAAGACUGAUCCAGCCAUGCCGCGUGAAGGACGAAGGCGCUCAGCGUUGUAAACUUCUUUUGGAUGGGAAUAAUAAUGUCGAUGAGUCGGCACUUGAAGGUACCAUCAGAAUAAGCACCGGCUAACUCCGUGCCAGCAGCCGCGGUAAUACGGAGGGUGCGAGCGUUAUCCGGAAUCACUGGGUUUAAAGGGUGCGUAGGCGGCGAGGUAAGUCAGUUGUGAAAUACCCCGGCUCAACCGGCGGGACUGCGAUUGAUACUGCUUUGCUUGAAACAGGUUGAGGUAAGCGGAAUGUGGCAUGUAGCGGUGAAAUGCAUAGAUAUGCCAUAGAACACCGAUUGCGAAGGCAGCUUGCUGGGCCUGAUUUGACGCUGAGGCACGAAAGCGUGGGGAGCAAAC